This 452-nucleotide ribosomal RNA is filed under the name uncultured Bifidobacterium sp. Its description in RNAcentral is "bacterial SSU rRNA". It matches the Rfam family "Bacterial small subunit ribosomal RNA", at positions 173 to 639 of the family's 1533-position model. Lineage: Bacteria; Bacillati; Actinomycetota; Actinomycetes; Bifidobacteriales; Bifidobacteriaceae. The record is from RNAcentral.
CUCCAGUUGGAUGCAUGUCCUUCUGGGAAAGAUUCAUCGGUAUGGGAUGGGGUCGCGUCCUAUCAGCUUGAUGGCGGGGUAACGGCCCACCAUGGCUUCGACGGGUAGCCGGCCUGAGAGGGCGACCGGCCACAUUGGGACUGAGAUACGGCCCAGACUCCUACGGGAGGCAGCAGUGGGGAAUAUUGCACAAUGGGCGCAAGCCUGAUGCAGCGACGCCGCGUGCGGGAUGACGGCCUUCGGGUUGUAAACCGCUUUUGACUGGGAGCAAGCCCUUCGGGGUGAGUGUACCUUUCGAAUAAGCACCGGCUAACUACGUGCCAGCAGCCGCGGUAAUACGUAGGGUGCAGGCGUUAUCCGGAAUUAUUGGGCGUAAAGGGCUCGUAGGCGGUUCGUCGCGUCCGGUGUGAAAGUCCAUCGCUUAACGGUGGAUCCGCGCCGGGUACGGGCGG